UACGGAGGGCGCGAGCGUUAAUCGGAAUCACUGGGCGUAAAGCGCGCGUAGGCGGUUUGGUAAGUCAAAUGUGAAAUCCCUCGGCUCAACCGGGGAACUGCAUUCGAUACUGCCUGACUGGAGUGCGGGAGAGGGUGGUAGAAUUCCCGGUGUAGGGGUGAAAUCCGUAGAGAUCGGGAGGAAUACCGGUGGCGAAGGCGACCACCUGGACCGCAACUGACGCUGAGGCGCGAAAGCAUGGGUAGCAAAC
Molecule: ribosomal RNA, 250 nt
Filed under: uncultured bacterium
Lineage: Bacteria
Description: partial 16S ribosomal RNA
Rfam family: Bacterial small subunit ribosomal RNA
Source: RNAcentral